UCCUUGCAGGUCCCCCCGGCCCCCCGGGUCCCAUCGGGCCACCCGGCCCCCCAGGACCUGACGUAAGUGCCGGGAGCGCCGGGGUGGGGGGCACGGGGUGGGCUGAGCCCUGUGUGUCCCCCCCCCCAGCUCAUGACACCCACCUUGUCCUUGCACAGGGUAAAGCCGGGGCACCUGGAGCUGCCGGCCCCCCCCGGGGAGAAGGGAGACAGGGGUCCCCAGGGCCACCCAGGCAGCCGUGGACAGGACGGGGCACAGGUACGUUGCUGGGUCGGGCCCCCCCGGGCCGCAGCCCCCCGUGCCCCCCCCCUGCCAGGCCGUCUCCUUUCUGUGUUUCAGGGCGAGCCGGGCCCCAGGGGCGAGCCGGGCGAGAAGGGCACUUGGGGGGAGGGUUUGCACCAGCUCCGCGAGGCGCUGAAGAUUUUAGCGGAGAGGGUUUUAAUCUUGGAAACAAUGAUUGGGCUCUACGGCCAGUAGCUUCCAAACCCUCCUGCGGCAGCAGGCCCGGCUGGAGGUCCUGGCUAGAAGGGUCACCUUGCUGGAAGCCAUCAUCUGGCCAGAACCAGAGCCCGGCUCAGGCAGCGGCCCCCCCCGGCACGGUGGCACCCGGACCCCCCCGCAGCAAGCGGGGUGGCAGCAACCAGCCCCCUUACCGCAUCGUGGCCCCCCACCGGCGCCCCCCCGGCAAGCAGUGACGGAUCCUGGAGUGGGGGGGGGGUCACCCGCUGUUACCCGCCCCCCCCCCAACCCUGCGCCCACCGCCGUGCCGGUACGGGCAGGAGCGUCGCCCUGGGGGAGGGGGGGCACGAUGGGGGUCACCCCCCCCCCCCCAGCCCCCUGGUCCCGCAGGGCACUUGGUGCUAGCCGGUAGCACGGCACCGGCCCCCCCCCCCUCUCUGCUUUGCCCCCCAUCGCUGCUGCUUGAACCCCCCCCCCCCGGGGGGCGUGGGGGGGCAAAAGGGUGUCAGGACCCCCCCCCUGCCCCUUUUCUGCCCCCACCCCAAUGUGCAGCUCUGGGGGUGCUUCAUUUCUUCCCCAGCCCGAGCCCCCGCGGCCACCCCUGCCCCGGGGAAGGGACCCCGGGGGGGGCCGGCGGUGGGGACCCCCCCCCCCCCAGCUUCGUCCCGCUGCUUUGGGACCCUCGAGGGUCAUUAAACGUCUCUUGAACCCGUG
This 1173-nucleotide long non-coding RNA is filed under the name Aquila chrysaetos chrysaetos. RNAcentral describes it as "lncRNA (ENSACCG00020001600.1)". The record is from RNAcentral. Lineage: Eukaryota; Metazoa; Chordata; Aves; Accipitriformes; Accipitridae.